Cyprinus carpio (common carp) is the source of this 932-nucleotide long non-coding RNA. RefSeq lists it as uncharacterized. The transcript is spliced from 2 exons. The record is from RefSeq and is a predicted model, not a curated record. NCBI's taxonomy places the organism in Eukaryota, Metazoa, Chordata, Actinopteri, Cypriniformes, Cyprinidae.
CUUUGGCUUUCAUUUUAUUUUUGUUUUCAGAUGUUCAUUGUAACUUACAUCACACAAUAAUUUCAUGUAACCUUGGUUCCCUGAAUAGGGAACAAGACGCUGCAUCCCUUUCAUAGAAGUGAACCUAUAAAGGGAACAGAAGAAUAUAACCAUCACGGAUCGCUUGUCAAUAUAACACUCCCACCUUGUGGCUUGUUACCUUAGUGCCACUAAUAAACCUGCAUUGACACUGAAGGCACGAUCUUCAUGUCAUUACUUGUAAUCUUUAUAAAAAUGACUGGGUCUGACAUAUAAAGCAUUAAACAUUUCCGUCAUGUUUAUUUGCACUAUUAAACUGAUGUAUAAUUCAGGUUCCUUUGGGAUACUCAUUUCAACGUACUGUGAUUUGGGACACAUUAGUGAUUGUGUGAAUGGAGUCGAUCCCAGUACAAUACUGACAUCCAGCGACCACACAGUGGAGCCCCAUCCUCGUUCUGACGAGACACCUGUGGGUAUUGGUGAGAUACUUCUAAAACAAAGUAUGGCAUGCCACACUGCAGGACAUUACAUUAUAAAAUAGUUUUUAAAAAUAACUAUAAUAAUGUUUUAAUAGACCACAUUUGCUGAAAAUAUUCCAUUGGCAAGAAGUUUGGGGAAGGAGAAUGCAGCUCCAUCUUUGAAGGGACCUGCAGUGAGGACCACCUUCAGGUGGCUGUAAAAUUCACAGCAGAAUUGGAAAACAAGCCGUACAUGAGCCUUGCCCCAGCUGUCACCACUGGACAAGCAGGACAAUCCCGACCAAUACAUCAUGGUCUUAGAGCAGCCCUUGCCCUCCAUUUUUGGCAGCAUUAUGACAGGCUCUUCAGUGAGGGGAUGACGUGUCAUUUCAUGCGGCAGGUGACUGAUACUGAUGCCAUGUGCUGUUCCAGGGGCAUCUUCCAUCAGGAGAUCAA